Molecule: ribosomal RNA, 465 nt
Filed under: uncultured bacterium
Lineage: Bacteria
Description: partial 16S ribosomal RNA
Rfam family: Bacterial small subunit ribosomal RNA
Source: RNAcentral
GACGAACGCUGGCGGCGUGCUUAACACAUGCAAGUCGAACGGAAAGGCCCUGCUUGCUGGGUCCUCGAGUGGCGAACGGGUGAGUAACUCGUGGGUGAUCUGCCCUGCACUUCUGCAUAAGCCUGGGAAACUGGGUCUAUUACCGGAUAGGAGCCAUUUUUAGUGUGAUGGUUGGAAAGUUUUUUCGGUGUAGGAUGAGCUCGCGGCCUAUCAGCUUGUUGGUGGGGUAAUGGCCUACCAAGGCGGCGACGGGUAGCCGGCCUGAGAGGGUGGACGGCCACAUUGGGACUGAGAUACGGCCCAGACUCCUACGGGAGGCAGCAGUGGGGAAUAUUGCACAAUGGGCGCAAGCCUGAUGCAGCGACGCCGCGUGGGGGAUGACGGCCUUCGGGUUGUAAACUCCUUUCGCUAGGGAAGAAGCUUUUUGUGACGGUACCUAGAUAAGAAGCACCGGCUAACUACGUG